RNAcentral lists this RNase P RNA (450 nucleotides) under Phycisphaerae bacterium. RNAcentral describes it as "RNase P RNA component class A". It matches the Rfam family "Bacterial RNase P class A". From Rfam's summary of the family: Ribonuclease P (RNase P) is a ubiquitous endoribonuclease, found in archaea, bacteria and eukarya as well as chloroplasts and mitochondria. The record is from RNAcentral. Lineage: Bacteria; Pseudomonadati; Planctomycetota; Phycisphaerae.
AGACGCAGCAAGGCGGUCGCUCAUGGAUUUCGGUUCAUGGGAGGAAAGUCCGAGCACGACAGGACACGAUGGUGGGUAACGCCCACCCGCCCCAACAUGCCCGCGAGGGUUCGGCUGGGGGCGAGGGACAGUGCCACAGAGAACAUACCGCCGAUGGCCCGGCUUGCCGGGCACAGGUAAGGGUGAAAAGGUGCGGUAAGAGCGCACCGCCCGCUUGGUGACAAGCGGGGCACGGUAAACCCCAUCGCGUGCAAGCCCAAGCAGAGCUCGUGUUGUCCGCACGAUGAGCUCGGGUCGGGUGCUGGGAGCGAAUGCUCCUCACCGUAUCGGCAACGAUGCGGGCAGAGAAAUGGCCGCCCAUGGGCGCAGGUCUGAUCGCGAGCCCCCGUCAAUGGAGCUGAUCAGAAACCGCGCCUUGGACAGAACUCGGCUUACCAGCUGCGUCCAGCC